Molecule: ribosomal RNA, 383 nt
Filed under: Gemmatimonadaceae bacterium
Lineage: Bacteria; Pseudomonadati; Gemmatimonadota; Gemmatimonadia; Gemmatimonadales; Gemmatimonadaceae
Description: partial 23S ribosomal RNA
Rfam family: Bacterial large subunit ribosomal RNA
Source: RNAcentral
GGGCUGGAGAAGGUCCCAAGGGUCCGGCUGUUCGCCGGUUAAAGUGGUACAUGAGCUGGGUUCAGAACGUCGUGAGACAGUUCGGUCUGUAUCCGCUGUGGGCGUUGGAGAGUUGAGGGGCGCGGACUCUAGUACGAGAGGACCGAGUCGGACGAUCCGCUCGUGUCCCGGCUGUGACGCCAGUUGCAACGCCGGGUAGCGAUGAUCGGUACAGAUAACCGCUGAAAGCAUCUAAGUGGGAAGCUGUCCCCAAGAUGAACUCUCCCUGGUGCCUCGAGCACCCUGAAGGGCCGUCGGAGACUACGACGUCGAUAGGUCGCCCGUGGAAGCGCAGCAAUGCGUUCCGAGCGUAGCGAUCCUAAUCGCCCGUGAGGCUUGACUAC